Cavia porcellus (domestic guinea pig) is the source of this 64-nucleotide transfer RNA. It matches the Rfam family "tRNA". Rfam says of the family: Transfer RNA (tRNA) molecules are approximately 80 nucleotides in length. Their secondary structure includes four short double-helical elements and three loops (D, anti-codon, and T loops). NCBI's taxonomy places the organism in Eukaryota, Metazoa, Chordata, Mammalia, Rodentia, Caviidae. The record is from Rfam.
GGGGGUUUAGCUCAGCGGCAUAAGCGCCUGCCUUGCAAGCAGGCAGUUGUGAGUUCAAUCCCUG